Long non-coding RNA from Nasonia vitripennis (jewel wasp), 372 nucleotides. RefSeq lists it as uncharacterized. The transcript has 3 exons. The record is from RefSeq and is a predicted model, not a curated record. NCBI's taxonomy places the organism in Eukaryota, Metazoa, Arthropoda, Insecta, Hymenoptera, Pteromalidae.
CAUUUAUAGGUACAGGUAUUAUAGGCUAUCUAGAGGCGGAUUUCGGACGCACAGCUCGGGGAAAGUGAAUUUUUGCGGAGAGGGAGAACGCUGCUAUAUAUACAGAGCGAAAUUUCUUAAGCAGACAGUUCGAAGUUUUCAUUCUAGAAGCAACGACUUGGCUAGUCAGUGAUAUCCUAGUGCCUGCGUUAGUUUGAAUCUGUAGUGCAUCACAGUCAAGUUUUCCUUUCGUAAAAUGGAAUCUCCACGUGCGGAAUCUUACGCAUCUUCUGACACUGGUAGGACGAGAAUGAUUGAUGCAGAAGCUCGUCACACGGAUCUCGAUGGAAAUCUCAACGAAGUUACUGCAGACUUGACAGGGCUUGUGACGAU